This 468-nucleotide ribosomal RNA is filed under the name uncultured bacterium. RNAcentral describes it as "partial 16S ribosomal RNA". It matches the Rfam family "Bacterial small subunit ribosomal RNA", at positions 28 to 507 of the family's 1533-position model. The record is from RNAcentral.
GACGAACGCUGGCGGCGUGCUUAACACAUGCAAGUCGAACGGAAAGGCCCUGCUUUUGUGGGGUGCUCGAGUGGCGAACGGGUGAGUAACACGUGAGUAACCUGCCCUUGACUUUGGGAUAACUUCAGGAAACUGGGGCUAAUACCGGAUAGGAGCUCCUGCUGCAUGGUGGGGGUUGGAAAGUUUCGGCGGUUGGGGUUGGACUUGCGGCUUAUCAGCUUGUUGGUGGGGUAGUGGCUUACCAAGGCUUUGACGGGUAGCCGGCCUGAGAGGGUGACCGGCCACAUUGGGACUGAGAUACGGCCCAGACUCCUACGGGAGGCAGCAGUGGGGAAUAUUGCACAAUGGGCGGAAGCCUGAUGCAGCAACGCCGCGUGCGGGAUGACGGCCUUCGGGUUGUAAACCGCUUUCGCCUGUGACGAAGCGUGAGUGACGGUAAUGGGUAAAGAAGCACCGGCUAACUACGUG